Molecule: long non-coding RNA, 2204 nt
Filed under: Nicotiana tabacum (common tobacco)
Lineage: Eukaryota; Viridiplantae; Streptophyta; Magnoliopsida; Solanales; Solanaceae
Description: long non-coding RNA (NTAB_LNC000942)
Source: RNAcentral
UGUUUUGUGGAGUUGAGUACAUGUAGGAAGGUCUAGUUGAAUGAUUCGGAUUGCUAAAAUAUCCGGGAGUUGAUGCCCAAGGUGGAGGCGGAUAAGCAGAGUACUGUGGGAAUUGAGUCUGAGCACGUGGCGGUAAUUGUUGAGGCUGAGAAUGAAGUUCUAGCUGAGUUCUAGGUUGUUGGUUCAGUUCAGGUUGUAAAGGAGAUUGUGGAAGCUGUUGCGAGGUAUGCUGAGAUUGUAAUGAUGAUUCUUGGGGAUACUGUGGUUGAGGCCGAGGAUGAGGUUGCGAUUGAGGUUGAUGCAGAGACUGGGCCUGAGGUUGGGCCUGGGCCUGGAACUGGGCUUGGGUUGGGGUUUGAAAUUGGUGAUGAUAUUGAGGUUGGGACUGAGGUUGGGCUGCGGAUUGAAAUUGAGGACGAAACUGAGGUUGUGACUGAGAUUGAGGUUGGGGUUGGGGCUGAGCCUGAGCCCAAGGAGCUACAUAACUGUUAAAGCUCUGAUCUUGAUAUCCAAGAUAAGCUUGAGAUGCAUAUGGAUUCCCUUGCGUGGUUGAGGCAACAGGCUCCUGAUGCGUGCUAUGAUUGGCUGAAGCAGAAUUUUGUGGGGUCUCGGGAUAUAUACUUGAUGACAAGGUCAGGCUCAAGAGAUCAAUUAUAUCUUGUUCUUUCGUGGGCAUAGCAGUUGGAGGUGGAUCUCGAAGAAUCAAUGCAUUGCUUGUGACAGGAUCCAGUGAUUCUCCCGUAGAAUUGCUAUUAUUGGCAGAGACCAUACCUUCACUUGUUUGCGCUGCUGGACUUGUUUUUGAAUGUCUGCAUCAGCACAAGCGACAACUUCAUUAGAGAGGACAGACCAAAGCUAUAAAUACAUCAUAAAUCACAGAAAGUACUUUUGACUUCCAAUAACAUUUAAGGGAGACAUAGUGCACUAAGCUCCCGCUAUGUGCGGGGUCCAGGGAAGGACCGGACCACAUUGGAUCUUAUGUAUGCAGCCUUACCAUGCAUUUCUGCAAGAGGCUAUUGCCGUGAUUAAAUCCAAAUAAAAGUCACUAGCCUUUAUAUUGAGAACCACCCACCCCCUUUCCUUUCUUCAACCAUCUGAACCUUUUGGAAAACCAAAACGACAAUUAAGAAGUACAAUAACGGUCACGACUAUAUAAAAAAUUUCCUUCCUAUGAAAGUAUUAGCCUGAAAAUCUUGAUCUCCGUCAUGCAUCCACAGCUCUGCAUAAGAGCAAUGAAUUGUUUUAUAUUGGAAGUAAAUGCAGGUUUUGUAAUUUCGAUAUUUACCUUCGAGCUAACUGGGCAAAGUCAUCUUCUUCAUCUUCCUCUUCAUCAAUUUGACCAGCUGUUGGUGCAAGAACUGGUGCAGAAGGUUUUGCAUCUGCUGCUGGAGUAGGUGGUUUAACUUCAGCAGGUUUGAGGCUUGGAUCAUGCAUUUCUCUAGCUGAGAUGUUGUUGUUUGGGACUUCAGUUGGAAGUGGAGAACCAGAAGCUAUUGCGUCAUGUUUAGCCAGCACCAUUUGGAGGUUAUCAUUUAAUUCAAGACCCUGAGCCAGAAGUUCUUCAUCCCUAAUCACAAACCAGAGCAACUUUUAAGAGGUGAUGAAAAUAUGCUGAAAAAGAAAGAAAAGAAAUAGCAAAUACCAGUCUAGUUAACACUUGCGUCAAUAUCUUUCCCAUGAACACCAUAAGAAACAAAAGAUGGAGAAUUACCCGGUGGUGGUCAACAUUUGCAUCAACUUCUUCUGGUUAGAGCGACACUGGUCGACAAGAUCAACUAUAACUUCAUCUUGUACAGCCUAUACAAAACAAAGAUAGAAAAGGAUUAAAGAAGUUCCAUUAAUGAGGUGAAUGAAGGAAGAGUGAGAGAAGUUACUUACCAAGCGAUCACCUGGAAUCACGGCUUGUAGCAUAUCAGCCAACAGAUCAGCAACUUCCUUCAUAGAAUUUAUGCUGGACAAGCUGCAAGGUAAAACAGUUAGGAUAAAGGAUAUGAUAAAGUAAAUCAUAACAAACCAAUUUAUAGAGUGCAACAACAUAGGAUCAAUAGGUCUGACAAGGCGUACGUCAACUUACCUUAAGUUUGCCAUCUCUGCUGCCAUGGCCUCAUCAAGUCUUGUUGAGGAAUUGCUUGGCAUUCCAUAACCAGGUUGAGGUUGUCUUGGUGCAGGAUGAGUAACAGGUGGAGUAAAAAUUGGAGCUGUAU